Molecule: long non-coding RNA, 1085 nt
Organism: Arachis duranensis
Lineage: Eukaryota; Viridiplantae; Streptophyta; Magnoliopsida; Fabales; Fabaceae
Exons: 2
Source: RefSeq, a predicted model, not a curated record
AAAUAAUCUUUAUAGUAUUAUAUUUGAUUUCUGAAUCGUUAUUUUAUCUCAAAUAUUUUAUAAAAUUGUUAUAUCAUUCGUAUAUAUUUUACCGAUUUAUCCUAACUCUAGAAGUACCAAAUAAAACCCUAAUUUCACUAAUUUCCUAAAGUUAUACCCUAAAAUCCCUAAACCUACGUUCUGAAAGGGAAAGAAAGGAAACAGGGGAGCUCGAGGGGGAAAACAAAAAGGAAAAAGAAAGUAAGGGAACAGAGAAGGAGCAAAGGGGAAAUGAGAAACUGAGAAAAGGGAGAAGAGGGAUUAGGGAAGCCAGAGGAAAGGGCGACGACGGAGAGUGUAAUUACGGCCGCUGCUGUUGAAAUCGGAAGGGAAGCACGAGAGAACAGAGAGACGCGAACGAUCGAGGGAGAAGGUAGCGUCACCACCGUGUCUCAUCAUCGUCGCUGAAGCUUCGAUUGCUAUUGUCCCUACUAGGUUGCCAAUGACGUCGUACAGAACAGGAGAUAGGAGCGCGAAUUGGAAGAGGAAAGGGAGCUCUGUUACGGGUUCGUCGCCAGGAAAAGAGGCGAUGUUGGUGGGGAUCGCCGCUGGUGUUGUCGCCGUGACUGGGGUUCGUGGUCGCUACUGCUGUUGGUGACGGACUAGGUCGUGUUCUAGCUGCCGGAGCCGCCAUUACCGUGGCCUUGUUACUUCGGGUCAACCAUGUCUCUGCCUCUGAUGUACCUUGUCGUGCCAUAUCCGUUGGAGCUGCCGUGGUUGGAGCUUGCUAUUAGAGAAAGCAAUUUGCUGCCACCAUCUUUCAAUCUGGCCAGCAUCAUCCUCUUUGUUCUAGUCUCAAGCCAAUUUUCUGUGUCUUAAACCUUUGUCAAUUUAUCUCCUGAUAAAUCACAAUUGGUGUUGAGGUCGUUGAUGUUGCUGCUGUUAUGCUAUAGCUAGCUACAAGAGUUUUACUGCUGCGGGUUAGAAAUUGAUGGUUGCCUCAUCCCAAAAUUCUGUGGAUUUCGCUAAAGCGAGGUAGGGGGUUUAAAACGAUUUUAAUUUAAGAAUGCCUACAAGGUUUAUUGAAUAACUGCAAAUAGAUUUAA